RNAcentral lists this ribosomal RNA (492 nucleotides) under uncultured bacterium. Its description in RNAcentral is "partial 16S ribosomal RNA". It matches the Rfam family "Bacterial small subunit ribosomal RNA", at positions 29 to 507 of the family's 1533-position model. The record is from RNAcentral.
AGUGAACGCUGGCGGUAGGCCUAACACAUGCAAGUCGAACGGCAGCACAGUAAGAGCUUGCUCUUACGGGUGGCGAGUGGCGGACGGGUGAGGAAUACAUCGGAAUCUACUUUUUCGUGGGGGAUAACGUAGGGAAACUUACGCUAAUACCGCAUACGACCUACGGGUGAAAGCAGGGGAUCUUCGGACCUUGCGCGAUAGAAUGAGCCGAUGUCGGAUUAGCUAGUUGGCGGGGUAAAGGCCCACCAAGGCGACGAUCCGUAGCUGGCCUGAGAGGAUGACCAGCCACACUGGAACGGGGACACGGUCCAGACUCCUCCGGGAGGCGGCAUAGGGGAUUUUUGGCCAAUGGCCGCAAGCCUGACCCAGCAAGCCCGCUGGGGUGAAGAAGGCCUUCGGGUUGAAAAGCCCUUUUGUUGGGAAAGAAAAGCAGCAGGUUAAUAACCCGCUGUUCUGACGGUACCCUACGAGUAAGAACCGGCUAACUUCGUG